CUCCUUUGCAGCCGGUCCCUGUUUCUUUCUCGAAGAGACUCCGGUGAGUUACUAGAGUCUGGAAUGGAUCCGAGUCUGCAGCUCGGCUUUCAGGCACGAGCAACGCUGAGGUACCUGCAUUACAUGGCUCAGGGUCUCGAACCAGGAUCGGCAUGCUCCACGGAGCUUUUACAGAGAAAGAAAGACCCACUUUAAAGAAAGGCCUGGAAUGGGAGCUGUGGCCUUGAAAAAGCUUGCACCAAAUGCUUCUAAAUUGGAAGUCACCUUUUUGGAGUAUUGAAAGAUUGAAAGUAUGAAAGAUUGCUCAUUCUGGGUCUCCAAAAAUGAAGAAGCUGGUUACGGUGCUUUCCUGUAUGAUGGGGAAUAAACAGAAGAGAAAUUGGAAGGACCACCCCAAAGCAUUGGUGAGAUGAUUUUCUUGCCUAGAGUCAAGCUUGGAUUGAAUUCACACGGGGAUUCCCAGUAUCCUUUCUCUGUGAUCUAGCACAGAUGGCUCCUGGGCUGUUUUGCUGGACCUUUAGAGCUUCAAAUCUACUGUUAAUUCCAUAUCCAAGAGGUUCAAAUGGUCGCCCUGAAGACUGUUUCGAAAAGAAUACGCAAGCCGUCGACUUGCCCUGCUGCUCAGGUGGAAAGAAGGAUUUUGGUUUUGCUGGGCUUAACGGAGGAAUAAAAAGCUGAGAUAGAAUUUCUCAGAGAUGUGAAAGGGUGAUGAUUUGGAAUAUGUUGGAAAAAACGUAUUGGCAAUCAGUAUGGUAAAUUUCUUUUUAAAAACUACAAAAUUGCUGUUAAUAAAUAUACCAGUU
Molecule: long non-coding RNA, 803 nt
Organism: Python bivittatus (Burmese python)
Lineage: Eukaryota; Metazoa; Chordata; Lepidosauria; Squamata; Pythonidae
Source: RefSeq, a predicted model, not a curated record